Long non-coding RNA from Manacus vitellinus (golden-collared manakin), 4423 nucleotides. RefSeq lists it as uncharacterized. Lineage: Eukaryota; Metazoa; Chordata; Aves; Passeriformes; Pipridae. The transcript is spliced from 3 exons. The record is from RefSeq and is a predicted model, not a curated record.
UUUUUUUUUUUUUUUAAAUAAAAAACUAAAUUAUGGGUUAAACACCUUGGUUUAAUACAAUUUGUGUUUCUGUUAACUAGCAGCAGAAUUUCAGCAUUUGCUACUUACUGGUAGAGAAGAAAAAUUCCACAGCACUGCCAGUACAGGUUAGUUUAAUCUGUAAGUACCUGAUGUUCCUAUUUGAAUUAAUUUGUUCAAAUGAUACCACUUAAAUACAUGAGGGGAAUUUUGGUCUCUGAACUGUGAUUGUUAUCUACUACUGAUUUCAGUAGUGAGUGAACAUCUAGAUUUUUUUUUUUUUUGGAAGAUCUGUAAUGGAUUUAACUGUGCUUGUGGGCAGGUAAUAAAUACCUGCAAGCACCUUAAAGGAAAAUUUAAUACAGAACCUUAACAAAUACCCUUUGAUGUUACUGGAAAGUUUUGAAAUCACUUCAGUAACAUGCCUUUAUCGAUGAGGCUGUUUUUUAUCAGCAAACCAACAGGAUCCUGUGUUUGUUGUGUUGGGGAUUAAGCAUUUCUGUUUGUAAACUCCAUAGCAGUAAUGUAAUCCUUGGAUUUUCUUUAGCUAUUACUAAUUACCAUUUCCUACCAACAGAUUUUUACUUUGCUAGGCCUGUGAGCCAGGAACUUGUUCUUCUCUGCCUUUUUUAAUCAUUAUUUUUGUUAGUCCAUUGCAGCACUUCAGAGGCUACCUACAAAUGUGGUUUUGUCCAGCUGUUUUAUCUUACUCCAGAGUUACUGCUGUGCCUCUAUUUUACUUCUGCCCUAUCCCAUAUUCUCAGAUAUUCUGGCAUUUUAUUUUUAUUUUAUAGAAUAUUUUACACCUUAAAAGAAAACAGGAGAGGUUCUUUGUGAUGGGAUAGAAUAUGCACCUUUCUCCAGAAUGGCUGCAUCCAUCUAUUUUUAUUUAGACUUUAUGUAUCUCAUUUCUACAUAUCAGCACAGAAGAUAAAAACUUUUUCUGUGCUGUAGCACCAAGCAUAGAUCCACAGCUGGAUGGGCUGUAGAUCUGUGCUUUAAUUCACUUUUUAAGGCCAUGUUAUCACACUCUGAGGGACUUUUGACAUUGUAGGUGGAUAAUUCCAUGGGCAGUAGGUACUGGGAGGGUCAGAGUAAAGUGGGAGCUGAACAGACACUUCAGUUGUGCAGCUCAUCUGGAGGGGCUGGAGUGGGUUUAUGAGUGUCUUACCACUUGCAGUGGUACUGUUUAUUUUAGAAUUCUGGAAUCUUACACAGUGCUGCAGAAUUCAGACCACCACACACACUUUCAAGGGGAUUGUGUCUUCCCAGGCUCACGGGAGUUACACUUGCAGCCCAUCUCUGGCAUCUUCUUUACACCAGUUCUCAGUACUUCACACUAAACUGCUUUGUCUGCAAAACUAAUGUUGCACAGAUGCUUCUCCCUAGCAGGAAAAAAAUAGGGCAGUCCUAUAUAGUGAAAUUUCUGACUUAGCUUUACCUGUAUUUGCUUCACCUUGGUGGCAGGUGUGUGUGAGCAGUAGGGAUCCCUUGCCUUGAGGCCCUUCUCCUGGUGACAGGAUGUAUCCACCUUUCUUGUAACCUCUGGGGGUGACCCUAGUUCAGUGCUAAGUACUGAGCUGGGGUGAGGAACUGAUGGCUCUUGGCUGCUCAGGUACCUCAUGAAGUCCUGGUUUUCACAGUGCUUGGGUGCCUCCUGCACUGCUGGUACCCCAGCCUGGCAGUCCAUGGGGAUAACUAACGGGUACAGUGUGUUCCAGACUGUCUUAACCAAAACCAAGUGCAUCUGUCCAGGGUAGGUCCUGCUAGGCCUCUGGUGGAACAUCAUCUCUGGGAUGUCCAGUCUCAAGUGGUUCAGCACUCUUCUUCCCCAGUUCUGGUACAGUAUAUAUGGAAGAGGUUGGCAUUUCCCACUGUUUCCUUAGACUUCUUGCUGACUCCCAAUUGCUCCUUCAGGGUUUCUGGACACUGUGCAGUGAACCCAAACUGAGCAAACUCCAAGCUGGUUUUAGUACCUUCAUAGAGCACGUGAGUGGGUUGUCCCCUCUCAGUAGCAGUACAGCCACAGAAAUGAAUGUGUUGUGAAGGUUUUUUCUGUCACUUGAUACUGCUUUCGUGUAAGUGGUGUGAAAGGGCUGGGAUUACUGAUCUUUUUCAAAAGACAGGUGGUGGCAAAAUACUGAUGUUGAAUUUAAUUGGACAAAGUGAGAGACUGGUAAGUAUGUGCAUCACUUUAAUGCAUGCAAAUAGUAACAUAACUAGCUUAAUUUUAUAGCAUUCAGUUUACAAAGAAGAUUCAAAGAAAACAUGGAGCAAACAUUUGCAUCCACUGGGAACCUUCUAUGAACUGUGUGCUUCAGCAAUGGAUCAUUGCACAUAUCUGUAAUGUGUAACCACUUUGUAACAGUGUCUGAUUAAAAGAAGUGAACCACUGUUUCUGUGUGGUAUUUUUUCUCUUGCAAACCUAUGUAAGUUAUUAUUGCAAAAAAUGUUAUCAUGUGAAUAACCUGAUACCAGCUUUUUAAAUGUGUGUAAGCUGCAAAGACUCACUUAUGUGAGUGUUAUCUUAAAACAAAAUGGAGAUAAGCAAGAGAAUCCUGACUUCUUAACUGUAACUUCCUUUUGCUGUUGAUUUGCUGUCUUGCUGAGCAGACUUUACAAGGAAUUUGACUACUGAAGUUGGAAGAGUUGGGAGAAUGUGGAGGAAAAGUUUGCAACAGCAUUUUUUUCAUAACAGCUGGUGGAGCAGGUGUUCUGUGAGAUGCUCUGUUCUAAACCCUUUCCUAGCAAAACCCUGGAGAGAUGAGGUAGCUUGGAAUGUGUGUGUCCUUGUACCUUGUGUAGUGGAUUGCUGGGCUGGGCUGGUUUGGGCUCAUUUAGCUACCACUCUACUCACAGGUUAAUUUCUAAGAGAGUGUUAAAAGGAAGAUCAAUCCAUAUUUUAAUGCUGCCUGGAACAAUUGAUGGCAUUUUGAAUGGGGGAUGUGUGACGAGCACUGAGUUAGAGGAGCCUUCAGGGAAGAUGCUGCUCUGCACAAACUCUUUUUGUCCUCUGACCCUUUUGGCUCCAGGGAAAUCUGAGGGGGCAUUUGGGAGAUGGGAACUGCUUUGUCCUAAAAGCUGACUGGAGCAAGGGGGGUGGUGUGUGGCUGGUUAAAGCCCUCCCAGUGAGAAUGUGACUGGGAAGGAGGGGUCUGUGCCUGGUGCCCUGGGAGCCUCUGCAGCUGGUGUGUGCAACGUGGGACCCCAAGAGUUCAUCUGUAAGUUUAGACUUUACAUCUUGUUUUUUCUGUGGGCUGUGGGGGGUGAGGUAAAGAGUUUGCAUCCAAGCUUUCAGUUUCUUUGUGGUAGAAAUGGGUAUAUUUGAAAAGACUUCUCUAAGUCUUUUCUUCCUCAAAGGAGAGACUCAAGCAUGUGCAGUGGUGGGGCUACAGAGCAAAGCUUUGCUACCUGCAGAGUAGAGUUAAGUGUGUGCAGGCAGGAAACAAGGUACAAGACACAAGCUGGUGUUAAUUUUUCAUCAUAGUAAGUUUCUUUUUGUAAACAAAACCUGUGCUUCUGCUACAGCAUUUGAGCAGGUUGUGUAUCUGUUAAGCAACUUUUCAGUAAGUUUGCAUGUCCUGUUUCUGCUCUGGGUUGAAGCCAUCCUUAUGCCCCAUUCUAGACUAGAAAAACUGCCUUGGCCUAACUAAAUUUUCAAACAUACCCCUGUCUCCUGCAUCAGGGCUGGGGGGCAGAGGGGGCUUUCUCUGGCCCUCCAGCUCUCUUCCUCCUGCCAAUUGUUUCUGCUCCCUGAGGCCAGAAGGUGAAGGCUUGGACUAGAUAAUAAUCUUUGUUUUCAUCCUGUUUCUUCUGAAUUCACAGUGGCUUGCAAUUCCUUUUACAGUUUUUGACUGAGCCCAGAUCUUGUCUGAAGUUGGAAAAGCAAAUCAUACCUUGCUACUGUUAGAACUACAUCUUCAGUCUUCUCCCCUCCUUUUUGGUCCCAGGUAAUUUCUGUAUCUCUGGAAGCCUGGCCUUGCCAGCUGUGCUGCCUCUGUACAGCUGUUCUGUGGGAAGGCAGCUGUUGGUGCUCCUGACACACGUGGGUGUGAAAGAAAUGGGAACUGCUGGAGAAACUUGUGCUGCCAGCUGAGCCCUUCUGACAGCUCCUUCUGUUGGAUACUGGAAAAGAGGAGGCCCUGCAUCCCCCAGUUCAGCUCAGUGCCUGACCCAGCAGAAGGGUUUCUGGUCAGUGCGGUGUCCUCACCCGAGACUUCACCUCCAUUGCCAGGGGUUCAGAGAGGGACAGCAGGGACAGCUGGCUCUGUACUGCUGGAGGAAAGGGAUAAUUACACCUGCUCAGCAUCCCAGCACGGGACAUUCACACGUCAGCCACAGCCACCCAUGAGCACAGGUCACAGCGAAGGGGGGUGGUGGUGGUGGUGGUGGUGUUCCUUCUCUC